Molecule: ribosomal RNA, 857 nt
Filed under: uncultured organism
Description: SSU rRNA
Rfam family: Bacterial small subunit ribosomal RNA
Source: RNAcentral
ACACAUGCAAGUCGAGGGGCAUCAGUUCGUUUUGCUUGCAAACCAAAGCUGGCGACCGGCGCACGGGUGAGUAACACGUAUCCAACCUGCCUCAUACUCGGGGAUAGCCUUUCGAAAGAAAGAUUAAUAUCCGAUAGCAUAUAUUUCCCGCAUGGGUUUUAUAUUAAAGAAAUUCGGUAUGAGAUGGGGAUGCGUUCCAUUAGUUUGUUGGCGGGGUAACGGCCCACCAAGACUACGAUGGAUAGGGGUUCUGAGAGGAAGGUCCCCCACAUUGGAACUGAGACACGGUCCAAACUCCUACGGGAGGCAGCAGUGAGGAAUAUUGGUCAAUGGACGCGAGUCUGAACCAGCCAAGUAGCGUGAAGGAUGACUGCCCUAUGGGUUGUAAACUUCUUUUAUAUGGGAAUAAAGUGGUCCACGUGUGGAUUUUUGUAUGUACCAUAUGAAUAAGGAUCGGCUAACUCCGUGCCAGCAGCCGCGGUAAUACGGAGGAUCCGAGCGUUAUCCGGAUUUAUUGGGUUUAAAGGGAGCGUAGGCGGAUUGUUAAGUCAGUUGUGAAAGUUUGCGGCUCAACCGUAAAAUUGCAGUUGAUACUGGCAGUCUUGAGUGCAGUAGAGGUGGGCGGAAUUCGUGGUGUAGCGGUGAAAUGCUUAGAUAUCACGAAGAACUCCGAUUGCGAAGGCAGCUCACUGGAGUGUAACUGACGCUGAUGCUCGAAAGUGUGGGUAUCAAACAGGAUUAGAUACCCUGGUAGUCCACACAGUAAACGAUGAAUACUCGCUGUUUGCGAUAUACAGUAAGCGGCCAAGCGAAAGCAUUAAGUAUUCCACCUGGGGAGUACGCCGGCAACGGUGAAA